RNAcentral lists this long non-coding RNA (4590 nucleotides) under Marmota monax (woodchuck). The record is from RNAcentral. Lineage: Eukaryota; Metazoa; Chordata; Mammalia; Rodentia; Sciuridae.
UUCUUUGGACCCAGGAUCACUCAACUGAGCCACGUCCCCAGCCCUUUUUAUCUUUUAUUUAGACACAGGGCCUCGCUAAGUUUCCAAGGUUGGCCUCAAACUGUUGAUCCUCCUGCCUCGGCCUCUCAAGCACUGGGAUUGCAGAUGUGCCUGACCCCACCUGGUGCCCCAGAGACACCGUUGUCCACGGAUGCGCAAGCCCCUUGUAUGGAAUGGCAUGGGGGUCCCGGUGACCUGCCCACACCCUCCGUCCCCGGUAAGUCCUCUCCAGAUCACUAGAGAUACCCUGUGAGCACUCUCACUGUGCAUGGGGGUCCCUGUCACUCUGCAGUGACGAGGACAGUCUGCACAUGUUCUAAACAGACGCAAUUUAAAAAAAAAAUAGUUUUCAGUCAGCAGUUGGUUGGGUUCAAGGGCGCGGAGCCCACGGGUGCAGAGUCGAGGACACCUAGACCUGCACCCUCCUGCCACCACGCUGCCACGCUGUCCCCUCCCUCAUGCCCACCCUCGCCAGCCUCAGAGGACCUGGCCCAGACCCUGCUUCUGUCCCCCCUGGGGACCCGAGGCUGAGCGUCCACCGGUCUGUCCGAGGAGGACACGAAGCAAGGACGCGGGGACUGGCAGAGACAGAGAAGGACACUGGCCUGACCGGCUCCCUCAGGACCUCCAACCACAGGGUGACCUCAGUGUCAGCCACAGGCGACGUUCUGAUCCUGGCCAGAGUCCAGCUCCUGUCCCCGGCCAGCGAGGGGCCUCUGACCCCAACAAGACUGGUUUCUGACCCAAGCUAUUGACCUGUUCAGGAUCCCAGCCACAGGCUGCCCUCGAGCCUGGCCGCACGCUGACCUUCCACCCCAGCCGCGGCCAGCUUCUGGUUCUGCCGCCCUGGCCCCUCAUCCUUUAUAACUGUCUCACAAGACCCCACCCAGGAACUGGCAUUUGCCGAAUUCCUGCUGCCAAUUCAGCUUGAAUUAAUUGGUCAACAAAGCUGAACUGUCUGUCCUUCCUCUCUACCCUGGGACCACAGGGCAGGCUCCCAGUUCUCCUUUCCAACCUGAGAGCAGCGUGAGAAGGCCCCUUUACCACUUUUCUUCUGCUUUGUAUACGAUGUCUGGUGCUCUGGCAGCCAUCAUGUGAUCAUGGAGAGGAAAGAUAGUGUUCUGAAUACGGCAGGGUCUGUGUCCUUGGAGACAUCAUUGAAUGAUCAAAGCAACCCUUGGAUUCUUAAAUAAGCCAUAGCAUGCUUUUAAAAAAAAUAAACCCAUGGAGUUCCUUUGGCAGCUUUAACAAUUGUAGUAAUUAGAAUAACAGACAUACAAAGACGUCCUGUCUGAAUCCCCAGAGGCUGGGAACAGGCUGUGUUAUGUGGCAAGAAGGAAUGAAGGUUGCAGAUGGAAUCAGAGCUCCUCACGGCCUGGCCUGGAGACGGGCACGUCAUCCUGGACCAUCCAGACGGACCGACUGUAAUCACAGGUCCUUGGGGGUGAGAGGGGCGCAGGGGAAUCAGAGCCAAGAGAAACUUGGCGGUAUCAUGCUGCUGGCCCUGAAGACAGGGCCAGUGGCCGCGAGCCAAGGAAUGCAGGCGCCUCCUAGACACACAAGGUCACAGGUGGGACUCUCCCCAGAGUCCCCCGAAGGAUGGCAACCCUGGGGAUGACACUGAGCUUCUGACCUGCAGAAGUGUCACAUGAUAAAUCUGUGGGAGUCAGUGCAGCUGCGGGGUGGGGCCACAGCCCCGGGUCCGACCUUGGCUUCUGGACAGGGCCAGCUGUGGGGAGGCCAGCUCCGCGCCCCUGUCACCCCGCAGUCCCACGCUCAGGGGGACCACCCUGGAAUGCAGCACUCUGAAGCCCCCACCUUGAAAUUCUUACUAGUUCUGUCUUCAAGUCGCAGCCGCACACAGAGGGCUUGCAGCUGCAUCUGACGGCUGUCACCUCCUGCCACUGCUGCUCCUGGGCAGGGUCCUGGCCACCUGCCGCACGCCCCCAGCCCUCCACCCCCCUCCACCUCCCAUGGCCGCUGCUGCCCUCUGCCCUCUGCGGGGACCUGGGGGCCCUGGAGGGCAGGGCCGUGGCUCACCUCAUGACACCUUGGGCUGGGGGUGGUGACAGCGUCCCUGUCCUGGUGUGUCUGCCUAGACAGGACAAGCCUUCCUUUUGUUGGUCCUGGGGAUUUAGCGGGGGCCCGCUUGCCCACUGAGCCACAUCCCAGCCCUUUUUAUGUCUCAUUUUGAAAGGGGGUCUGCUAAGUGCUUGGGGUCUCACUAAGUUGCUGAGACUGGCCUCCAACUCUCCAUCCUCCUGCCUCAGCCUCCAGAGCAGGGAUGUCAGUGGCAAGACCAGCAUCACGCCUGCCCCAGGAGCCCAGAGUCCCCAUCCUGAAUUCUUAACCCUUUCUCUACCUGCACUGCCAAGGCCGAGCCUCCUCCCCACCCUGCUCCUGGGCUCUCCCGGCCUCCUCCGCGGGCUUCUGCCCUCCCCAUUGCACAAGUCCCAGUGCAGGCCAGGCCCCCUCCGCCUGCCUCGUAGCCCUCCCCCUCCCCUCCCUCCUCUCUCCCCUCCCCUCCCUCCUCCCCCUCCCUCCCUCUCCACUUCCUCCCCUGCACCCCUCCUCCACUCUCAGUGCACAGUGGGCCUGACCCGGCCUUGAACCUGCUUUCACUGAAGCCCUGAGGGCUGCUCUCCAUCCGCCUUCCUGCCGCACUCGGCCUCUGCUCCCCUCUCAGAACUGCCUCCCCCUCCGCGCUGGCGGCCUGCCCCGCGCCCAGCCGCCCCAGGUCUCCCUCUCUGCCCUUCCCUAAGAAUCCAGGGCCCCCCAUAAAGGCCCCCACCUCCUCCGCUCCCCUCUCCCCUCCCCCUCCUCCCUCAGCCUCCAGAGCCCCUUCUCCCUCGCCCUCCCCCCUGAUCCUUACUUACUGUGUGUUGGGCACCACGUGGGCCCUGGAACAUAACAGAAGAGCCAAGGAAGCUCUCUGCGCCCCUCUCCCCAUCCACCCUUUCCCCCUCCCUCCCGUCCCUCCCCCUCCCCUCCCCCUCCCCCCUCCUCUCACAUUCUCUCCCUGGAGUUAACUGCAGCCUUCGCUAAACUGACUGCAGUUUCACGGGGCAGCGAUUGUGCAGCCCAGGACCCAGCGCCCCUGGCACAGAGGGGAUCACAGACACCAUUGGGCACUGUGGUGCACUCCUGUAAUCCCAGCAGCUUCGGAGGCUGAGGGAGGAGGAUUGCAAGGCCAGCCUCAGCAACUUUGUGAGGCCCAAUUUCAAAAUACAAAGGGCUGGCGUGGGGCUCAGGGCUGGAGCACCCUGGGUUCAAUCCCCAGGACCAACCAAGAAUGCACUCAGGAGGCUUCCCUGGAUGGACUGAUGGAUGAGUGAAAGAAAGACAUGUUCUAAACCAUCAGCCCUCUCACCUCAACCCCAGAACCAUGUCCCCAGCUAUGGUGGGGCACAUCCCAGUGACCACAGCUUCCCCGGGGACACGUCCUGCAGCCUAGCCGGUACACCCCACCCUGUGACGUGAUGAGCAUCAUUCUAUUGGUGUAUGUUAUUGACUCUUUUCAUUUUGAUCAGUUCGCAGUCUUCCCUCUGGAAGGAGCCUCCAGGGAGCAGAGAUUUUCGUUUGCUUCACUGUUGAAUUCCAGGGCCCACCUGGGGCCCAACACAUAGUAAGUGCUCAAUAAACACGUCUUGAACCGAUGAGCGGAUCUCACCACGGACAAACCCACAGAUCUCAGACUCAGUGUAUCCAAAAUAGCCCUUUGUCCUCCUCUGGGGACAUCCUCCUUUUGGUUCCUGGUCUUGAUUGCUAAACCUACCCAGCAGGCAUCACCAGGCCCGUGCCUUCCUUCCUCAUCUGCAGAUUCUGGCACCGACUGUCUGUCCCUGUGACCCUUCGCCCUGGCUCCUCCAUGCACCACAUGCACCACACCGUCUCCUGCUUGCAGCCCCUGGGCUGAUCCUAACACUGCACCAGGACCAGGUGGUGACAGAGUCUCCCUCCUGCUCCUAAGGGGACACAGGUCCCGGAGGUCCUGAAGGUGAUGUGAGGUGGCCUUGGGCAUCAGUUCGGGAAACUUGUUCCUUUUUCAGCCUCUCUCUCCCUCGGGCCUUCCGCAGGCUGCCAGCAAGUCGCCAGAAUUGAAAUUACUCGGUUUUGGUUUCACUGUGGGCUCUGCAGUUCCGUCUGUUUAUGGUCAAGGAGGCUGGCGCUCCAUUUGUGAAGGGACAAGGUCUCCUCUGAAAAGAAAGCGAAAUAGGUCAACCAACACGAAGGGCUCAGGAAUCAGGGUGGAGGGGAAAUGCAAGUAUGGCCCAAGUGACCUGUCGUGCAGCGGGAUGGGCCCGGGAAGUGUCCAGAGCUCCUGGCAACCAGGUCCCGGUGCCCGGCUGCCCCUCAGUGUGACACCUGUGACACCUGCAGCCACGCUGGGACACGGCCCUGGCCCCAUUCCCAGGGCACCUCGUGCAGUUUCGACCCCAGGCCUGUCUCUUCACUCUGGCCUGUCCCUCACGCUCCUCCCGGACCACUCUGUGCCCCUGUCGCCCAGCACGGUCCUCCCUGGGGAAGGACCCUCGCCACUCCCAGCCCCGC